RNAcentral lists this transfer RNA (67 nucleotides) under Phyllophorella liuwutiensis. Its description in RNAcentral is "tRNA-Ser". Lineage: Eukaryota; Metazoa; Echinodermata; Holothuroidea; Dendrochirotida; Phyllophoridae. The record is from RNAcentral.
AAGAUUUAUAGAGUACUUCUGGCCUGCUAAGCCAAGAAGUCCGUGGUUUAAUUCCAUGGAAAUCUUG